CGAGAACGUUGAAGUACCAAAAGGUGAAACCAAUUUCCAAAUGGCCUAGAGAACAUUGAGCUUCACGGCCACUCCAAUUCAAGCAAAGCAUUAGUAGAUGUUCAGGCAAGUGGGCCAAUGAGCCUUCCUCAAAGGAGCCGGAACUUUUUUUUCUCUCUAAAAUAGAAGGUCUUCAUUGAGCAGAAAAAGCCCAUAGACCCAAUUACAAGAGGAGGGCCACGGCCAAGACAACAAAGGAUAGAGCCACAAGAAACGAAACCGAGUUCCAUACAAGAGGGCUAAGCUCAUGCCUAACAGAGCAUGGUCUUCACCCAAACCCAUGACCCGCCUGAAAGAAAGCUUCCUGCGCUGCCUAGCAUGAAACAUCCAACAGAGGAGCAAAUGGCAAGAGAACUCAUCACAUCCUAGAUCUAUCAUUUGGGUUAACGCUGAGGGAUAGAUAAUAACUUGUUACAGCACCAACAAGGAUAAUACUUGGCUCAAAUGCCUGAAGAAAAAGGAUCCCCAAAAAAACAACUGCGCAAGUUUGGGGCAGACAAGCUAGACCCAAAAAAUAAGAAAAUUAAGAAGCACUGACCAUGGAACUGAAACUACAAGGAGGGGCGUAAAGCUCGGGCCUUCUCAUUCUUCUAUAGGCUAUAAGGAACUAGUAAUACCACUAGUGUAACACCGAAAUGUUCCCGAGGUUGCCCUUCCUCAACAGAGAAACUGAAAACCAUCAAAGAAGCACACCAAGCAGAGGACCCUCCUAGAUAAGCUCAUCCUGCAAACAAAACCAUCAAAACCUAUAUACACCCGUUCAAAGGAAGGGAGGAGGAACCCACGUCCGGGUAGGGGAGGAGAAGCCCGCCCCUGCCCGAGAGGGACAGAGGACUACCGGAACAACCGACAGAGAGCGGAGACAGAGAGUCUCAGCAACCUAGAACCAGAAUACUUUCUCUCUCUAAAAUAGAGAGAGCCAUUCUCGAAUAGCUAUAUUUUUUAGAGUAAGAAGUCAGAAAUUUGGCAAAUCUAAAACUGAAUAUGUCAUCAGUAAUGUUAGACAUUAAGAGAUUUCAACUUCUCUAUUUCGAUGCUUAAAAAAAUUGAACUUUUUUCGAUUUGGGUUUCUUCUCCCAUCCACCCUUGUUCAAUAAUAAAUAAAAGUAAAUAAAAAAUAAUAUUUUUGAGACACUGAUGAAUCAUAAAAUGCUAACAAAGAGUUAAGAAUGCAAAUAAUUAUUCCCUGCAAAGUUAAAUUAGCUGUCUUCCAUUCUCCAUUGAAUUGCGCGCUAAUUGUUGAAUCCUUCACAACUACAACUUGCUUUGUUUUACGAAUUUUCUAAGCCGUUAAUUAAUAGUUAAUCAGAAACAAGAAGCAAUGUUCGUCACAUCACAUCAUGAUCUGUCCCAGAUAAUUAUAAACCCAUAAACAUAAAAAUGGCCCGGUUGUCAGCUUUUGAAUUAAUUCCCAGAGAAAAUGAUCAUACUGGAUGAACGGAAGGCACGUCCGCGCAAGUUUACUUCUUAACAAAACCCAUUAUCGUCCUCUAUUUUUCUAUGUCAAUUUUCAUGCUCGCCAACAAAUAUUAAGAAGAAGAAGAUGGAGCUUGUUAGCAGAAGCUUCAGGCUUGAAAGAGGUUCAUCGUUAAAACAAGGUAGAUCCAACAGUUCGCUCCUGAUAUCAGAAUCCCUAUCAUCAGAAUGCGCGCGAGUCGCCAGUUACCAGAGGCUGUCGGAGUCUAUGAGAAUGGACGGCGGCUAUCGGAGGAAGAAACACAAGGCUUCCGGGUUUAUAAGCAAGGUUUUCAGGAUAAUUUCAGGAUAUGAUCACGAGACAGCAAAGCAAAGAAACGCAGAGGUAACUGAGGUAGAUAAGAGGAAUAAGAAGAAAUGGUCCUCGUGGCUACCUGAUCCUGAGAGGAGAUGGCCAGUGCAGGGAUGGUGAUCUCAUAUUCUGAUGAUGUGCAAGUUGCAACUCAGCUCCCAAGUCAAUGAAAAAUCACAUGGAC
RNAcentral lists this unclassified non-coding RNA (1991 nucleotides) under Hevea brasiliensis (rubber tree). The record is from RNAcentral. Lineage: Eukaryota; Viridiplantae; Streptophyta; Magnoliopsida; Malpighiales; Euphorbiaceae.